Molecule: non-coding RNA, 22 nt
Filed under: Arabidopsis thaliana (thale cress)
Lineage: Eukaryota; Viridiplantae; Streptophyta; Magnoliopsida; Brassicales; Brassicaceae
Source: RNAcentral
UCCCGGGAAGUCCUCGUGUUGC